GGGCGGUUAGCUCAGUUGGUUAGAGCAUCGCGUUGACAUCGCGAAGGUCGUAGGUUCGAGCCCUAUACCGCCCACUA
RNAcentral lists this transfer RNA (77 nucleotides) under Chloroflexi bacterium RBG_16_63_12. RNAcentral describes it as "tRNA-Val". It matches the Rfam family "tRNA". From Rfam's summary of the family: Transfer RNA (tRNA) molecules are approximately 80 nucleotides in length. Their secondary structure includes four short double-helical elements and three loops (D, anti-codon, and T loops). The record is from RNAcentral. Lineage: Bacteria; Bacillati; Chloroflexota.